RNAcentral lists this unclassified non-coding RNA (1894 nucleotides) under Acyrthosiphon pisum (pea aphid). RNAcentral's name for it is "uncharacterized LOC100162636". Lineage: Eukaryota; Metazoa; Arthropoda; Insecta; Hemiptera; Aphididae. The record is from RNAcentral.
AUCAAUGGAUAGGUUAAUAAAAUUGCUAGCUUCACCCUCGUCCAUUCUACAUACUGUACCUAUUACUGAUUUCAUAGUGCAUAAAACUUGCUACUUUAUAGCAUUUGAAUUGUACAUUUUUAAAUUUUUUUUUUCGAAUGGAAUAUGUUAUGGUAAAUAAUACAGUGAUGUAUAACUGCAAAGUAUUUUUAUUUUCAUAAAUUGUAUUAUUUAAUAUUUUGUUGCCACAAUUAUGGUCCAUAAGUGUUGUGUAGCUGGUUGCAGGGAAAAAUAUGUCAAAGGCCUAAGUUUGUUCAAAGUUCCAUUUCACGAUGCUAUACGGUCAAAAAAAUGGAUGAACGUGAUAGGGAUAAAUGAAACCAGAAAUAAAAAUUACUUUGUUUGUGAGAAACAUUUUAAAAGUUGUGAUUUUAAUCACAAUGGAGUUGGUGUUAAUGUAAAAAAAUUGAAAUUAUCUGCUGUGCCCAGUUUGUUUUUACCGGUGAUUGAAAUAGUAAAUGAAGAAUAUGAGCAUAGACAUAACAAUAUGGAAUUGUCUGUUGAUUUCGAGGAAAUUGAAUUGAAGAAUGAUAAUCUUACUAAUGAAAAUUUAGCAUUGAACAGAAAUGAAAUUAAUGACAGUAUUUGUAAUGAAAAUUCACCAACUAAAAUAAAUGACGGAACUUCAAAAUUAUUACUUCCUCAAUCUUUGUCUAGCUGUCAAGAAAUAUUUUGUGUUAAUUGCAAUAUAAGACAGAACAUUUUGAAAACCAGACAAUAUUAUUUAAAAAAACUAGCUGAAAUAAAAGAAGAAGAAAGUAAACUACCUUUAUCUUGUCCUUGUGAAAAUAAUGAAAAUCUCAAAUCAAAUAAACAAUUGAUGACACCGUUGGAUAAAAUAUGUAAUUACAAUUUUUCUACUCGAAGUCCAAAAUCACAUGCAAGACGCGCCUUUAUCCUUGAUCAUUCAUAUACAUCAACUCCUUCAAAGUUGAUUAAACACAAAAACGAAAAUACAAAAAAAGAAAAUUAGUCAAAUUAAGUCGAGGAGAGUGGUGCAAACGUGUAUACGUCAAAUAAAAUGGUUGCCCUUGAUUCUUCAUGGAAAGUUCCAAUUGGCUAUUUUUUUCAUAAAUGUCUAAACUAAAAAUACAAUGGAAAAUUAGCAUUAGAAGCUUUAAAAAAACUAUGAAAUUGAUAUUCAAGUUCCAUCUAACUUUUGAUGGUCCUGCAUCUCAUUUUUCUAUGGCCCAUACAUUAGGAACAAAUUUGUCAACAACAAAUACUAAAACAUUUUUCCACAUCCAAGUGACCUUGGAUCAAAACAAAAUUUGUUCACUGCCAUGCUCUGUUCAUAAGAAAUGCUUGGUCUACUAUGUGCCAGAUUUAUGAUGGUGAUAAAUUGAGGAGAAGACAUCUGGAAGUGACCACAACACAAAAUGGAUAUAUGUACUGGAUUUAGCUAGAAAUACUAGUUUUAACAACUUAAUACCUACUCAUAUUAUUUAAUUAAAAAAAAAAAAAAAAAUGAAUUUAUCCAUUUUUAAUUUGUUUAUUAAUUUUAACCAAACCAAAAUAUCAUUUUUGGAAGACAGUGAUAGUCACCUCCGUCCUCUGUGUGAUGCCAAAUAGUUAUCUUAAAAAUAAUUUAUCUGCUGGGCACAAAUAUUACAUAGAAAUUUAUACCUGAAAUAAAUUUGGUAUGGCAAUUUACUAUUUAUAUCUGAAAUCUAUCUUGCACAAUUUAUGGUUUUCCAUUGUUUCCAGAGUUUUGAGCAAGAAAGGUGUAGUAAAAUGCAAUAUGUUUUGUCAAUAUUGUUUUCUUUACCAAUGUGGUAGUGUUGUUCUGUGAUCUUCAUGCACAUUGUUGUAAUCUACUGAUAUAAAAUUAAAAUUAAAUUUUAAUACUGUUUUA